Molecule: ribosomal RNA, 423 nt
Filed under: uncultured bacterium
Lineage: Bacteria
Description: partial 16S ribosomal RNA
Rfam family: Bacterial small subunit ribosomal RNA
Source: RNAcentral
UGGGGAAUAUUGCACAAUGGGCGAAAGCCUGAUGCAGCAACGCCGCGUGAGUGAUGAAGGUCUUCGGAUUGUAAAGCUCUGUCUUUUGGGACGAUAAUGACGGUACCAAAGGAGGAAGCCACGGCUAACUACGUGCCAGCAGCCGCGGUAAUACGUAGGUGGCGAGCGUUGUCCGGAUUUACUGGGCGUAAAGGGUGCGUAGGCGGAUGUUUAAGUGAGAUGUGAAAUACCCGGGCUUAACUUGGGUGCUGCAUUUCAAACUGGAUAUCUAGAGUGCAGGAGAGGAGAAUGGAAUUCCUAGUGUAGCGGUGAAAUGCGUAGAGAUUAGGAAGAACACCAGUGGCGAAGGCGAUUCUCUGGACUGUAACUGACGCUGAGGCACGAAAGCGUGGGUAGCAAACAGGAUUAGAUACCCUGGUAGUC